Molecule: ribosomal RNA, 311 nt
Filed under: uncultured eukaryote
Lineage: Eukaryota
Description: partial 18S ribosomal RNA
Rfam family: Eukaryotic small subunit ribosomal RNA
Source: RNAcentral
CCCUUAGAUGUCCGGGGCCGCACGCGCGCUACACUGAAGGAAUCAGCGUGGCUUUCUCCCUGACCCGAAAGGGUUGGGAAACCCGUUGAAUCUCCUUCGUGAUAGGGAUUGGGGCUUGAAAUUGUUCCCCAUGAACGAGGAAUUCCUAGUAAGCGCGAGUCAUCAACUCGCGUUGAUUACGUCCCUGCCCUUUGUACACACCGCCCGUCGCUACUACCGAUUGAAUGGCUUAGUGAGGCCUCAGGAUCCGCGCUUAAUGUGUGGAGAAUUUGGACAAACUACGUCAUUUAGAGGAAGUAAAAGUCGUAACA